RNAcentral lists this ribosomal RNA (443 nucleotides) under uncultured bacterium. Its description in RNAcentral is "partial 16S ribosomal RNA". It matches the Rfam family "Bacterial small subunit ribosomal RNA", at positions 338 to 795 of the family's 1533-position model. The record is from RNAcentral.
CCUACGGGAGACAGCAGUGGGGAAUAUUGGGCAAUGGGCGCAAGCCUGACCCAGCAACGCCGCGUGAAGGAAGAAGGCUUUCGGGUUGUAAACUUCUUUUCUCAGGGACGAAGAAAGUGACGGUACCUGAGGAAUAAGCCACGGCUAACUACGUGACAGCAGCCGCGGUAAUACGUAGGUGGCAAGCGUUAUCCGGAUUUACUGGGUGUAAAGGGCGUGUAGGCGGGACUGCAAGUCAGAUGUGAAAACCACGGGCUCAACCUGUAGACUGCAUUUGAAACUGGAGUUCUUGAGUACUGGAGAGGCAGACGGAAUUCGUGGUGUAGCGGUGAAAUGCGUAGAUAUUAGGAGGAACACCAGUGGCGAAGGCAGUCUGCUGGACAGCAACUGACGCUGAGGCGCGAAAGCGUGGGGAGCAAACAGGAUUAGAUACCCGGGUAGUC